CGCCCCUGCAGAUGGGCAUUGACAGAAAAAUUUUUUCGGUGGAAAGCAACAUUACCGCAGCCGGCGGAACAGCGCUGGAUGUAAUGCGAAAUAUUCCAUCUGUAACGGUUGACGCCGAAGGUUCUGUACAAUUGCGCAAUGCUGCGCCACAGGUGUUUGUUGAUGGUCGUCCUACCAUUUUAACGCCCGACCAGAUUCCGGCCGACCAGGUGGAACGGAUUGAACUGAUCACCAAUCCUUCGGCCAAAUUUGACGCAUCCAACUCGGCCGGUA
Molecule: unclassified non-coding RNA, 273 nt
Filed under: plant metagenome
Description: partial contains 5.8S ribosomal RNA, internal transcribed spacer 2, and large subunit ribosomal RNA
Source: RNAcentral